RNAcentral lists this long non-coding RNA (489 nucleotides) under Bos taurus (domestic cattle). RNAcentral's name for it is "long non-coding RNA NONBTAT018194". Lineage: Eukaryota; Metazoa; Chordata; Mammalia; Artiodactyla; Bovidae. The record is from RNAcentral.
UUUUAAUCAGGGCUGUUUAUACUUUUCAGGGCUGCCAUCUGCCUAUAUUUUAAAAAUCAAAUAAAGAAAUGUGACAUUGCCCAUUCUUUUUGUGUUUAAAACCACAUGAAGAUUGACAGAUACAAAAUUAAACAUUUAGAUACUCUGUUUCUUUAAAACUCUCACGAACUCAGUUUAUUUAAGCAACUCUAGGACCUCCUACAAAACUGUAGUCUAAAAAACAGGGGAAAAUCAACUAUUCAAAUUUCAAGUUGUACUGUGGCAGUGUUUAAUUUUCUAAAAUGAAAUACGUCAACUUAAAAAAUUAAGCCCAGAACUUUAUGGAGCACCUUAAAUUGUCCCCUUCUUUCUCUAAUUGAUCUCCAAACCCUUACAGUUCAAAUUCAAAGUUUGUUUUCAAUAAAGGAGAAAAUCAACACCACAGGGUGCUCUGAACUCCAAGAGAUUUCUUCUUCUUUUUUUUUUUUGGCUCUCAUUCAGAAAACUAAA